AACUUAUAAUAGUAAUCGUUUUAUACUUACAGGUGGAGAUUAUCGACAGGAUAUGCAGUUUUUAAGCAUGUGUCACUCAUGGUACAUCCACAUUACAUUUCUUCCUGAGCUUGCAACAAGCAUUGAAGUAUCAUUUUACAAUUAAAUUGUGGUAAACAAUGGUGGCUGGUUUGCACAAAUGGUUGGUAACAGUUUCUGCUUGUGAAAGUGCUCUUGGCCUAAACCUGUGAUGAGUCUGCUCUCAAUCCACUACCUCAAUGGUUAUCACUGAAUUUUCUCCUUAGAACACAUAAAAAGGUUACGUGGAGCUGAAAUUAUUGAGAGAAGGGCAGUGGGUAGCAGUCGAAAGUGAGCAGAAACCGGGGCAGUAACAGAGAAGAAGAAACAGCAGCAGUUUGUGUGUCUUCCUCCAUUGUAAGCCCUUCCGUGUGUGAGUUUUGUACCAGAAAAUUGCAGCAAUGAUAUGCUAUGUCGAAGUGUGUUUUGUGAGUGUUAUUAGCUUGACAAUGCUACUUCAUGCACUUCCAGAGAAAUUUCAGGGCCUAUAGAGGCCCUGACAGAAGUGAAA
Populus euphratica (Euphrates poplar) is the source of this 568-nucleotide long non-coding RNA. RefSeq lists it as uncharacterized. The record is from RefSeq and is a predicted model, not a curated record. Lineage: Eukaryota; Viridiplantae; Streptophyta; Magnoliopsida; Malpighiales; Salicaceae. The transcript has 2 exons.